GAGGGUAUAGCUCAGUGGUAGAGGGUGUGCUUAGCAUGCAUGAGGUCCUGCGUUCAACCCCCAGGACCUUCA
Molecule: transfer RNA, 72 nt
Filed under: Camelus bactrianus (Bactrian camel)
Lineage: Eukaryota; Metazoa; Chordata; Mammalia; Artiodactyla; Camelidae
Also listed under: 2 other names
Rfam family: tRNA
About the family: Transfer RNA (tRNA) molecules are approximately 80 nucleotides in length. Their secondary structure includes four short double-helical elements and three loops (D, anti-codon, and T loops). Further hydrogen bonds mediate the characteristic L-shaped molecular structure. tRNAs have two regions of fundamental functional importance: the anti-codon, which is responsible for specific mRNA codon recognition, and the 3' end, to which the tRNAs corresponding amino acid is attached (by aminoacyl-tRNA synthetases). tRNAs cope with the degeneracy of the genetic code in two manners: having more than one tRNA (with a specific anti-codon) for a particular amino acid; and 'wobble' base-pairing, i.e. permitting non-standard base-pairing at the 3rd anti-codon position.
Source: Rfam by way of RNAcentral